AACUUUCAGCAAUGCAUCACUUGGCUCUCGCAUCGAUUAAGAACGCAGCGAAAUGCGAUAAGUAAUGUGAAUUGCAGAAUUCAGUGAAUCAUCGAAUCUUUGAACGCACCUUGCGCCCCUUGGCCAUUCCGAGGGGCAUGCCUGUUUGAGUAUCAUGAACACAUCAACUCUCACGGUUUGCCGUGACGAGCUUGGACUUUGGGGGUUUUGCCGGCCUGUGGUUGGCUCCUCUAAAAUGAAUCAGCGUGCCAGUGUUUUGGUGGCGACAUGGGUGUGAUAACUAUCUACGCUUGUGAUCGUCUGCCGAGUGACCUUCAGUGAUGGAGGUUUGCUGGAGCUCACAAAUGUCUCUCCUCGGUGAAGACAGCUUUUCGAACGUUCGAUCUCAAAUCAGGUAGGACUACCCGCUGAACUUAAGCAUAUCAAUAAGCGGAGGCU
RNAcentral lists this unclassified non-coding RNA (438 nucleotides) under uncultured Thelephoraceae. RNAcentral's name for it is "sequence contains ITS2". The stretch from base 1 to 155 matches the Rfam family "5.8S ribosomal RNA". The record is from RNAcentral. Lineage: Eukaryota; Fungi; Basidiomycota; Agaricomycetes; Thelephorales; Thelephoraceae.